UACAUGUGGGGCAAGCGUUGUUCGGAAUUACUGGGCAUAAAGGGUGCGUAGGCGGCUUGUUAAGUCAGGGGUGAAAGUUUUCGGCCCAACCGGAAAAUUGCCUUUGAUACUGGCGAGCUGGAGUGCGUGAGGGGUGACCGGAACGAGUGGUGUAGCGGUGAAAUGCGUAGAUAUCACUCGGAAGGCCAACGGCGAAGGCAGGUCACUGGUGCGCAACUGACGCUGAGGCACGAAAGCGUGGGGAGCAAACAGGA
This 254-nucleotide ribosomal RNA is filed under the name uncultured bacterium. RNAcentral describes it as "partial 16S ribosomal RNA". It matches the Rfam family "Bacterial small subunit ribosomal RNA", at positions 524 to 777 of the family's 1533-position model. The record is from RNAcentral.